Cyprinodon tularosa is the source of this 280-nucleotide long non-coding RNA. RefSeq lists it as uncharacterized. The transcript is spliced from 3 exons. The record is from RefSeq and is a predicted model, not a curated record. Lineage: Eukaryota; Metazoa; Chordata; Actinopteri; Cyprinodontiformes; Cyprinodontidae.
AGCACCACCUCCCUCUACCCCAUCAUCUCCCUCUGCUCCAGGAUCAUCUCCCUCUGAUCCAGCACCACCUGAUACGCAGAGAAAAUCCCUAGCAGAGAAAUAUGUCUAUGAAGCUUUUUCUGGAAAAAACGUCUUUGUCCUUCUGUCAAAAGUGAAUGCAUAUAAGUUGUUUUACUCUGACAUUUACAAAAUUGGUCCUGGCAUGGAACUGGUGAGUCAGAUCCUCUGUGACAUGUGCCUGAGGUGGUUCCAUCAGGCGUGUGUGGCUAGCCCACCAACU